This 378-nucleotide unclassified non-coding RNA is filed under the name uncultured fungus. Its description in RNAcentral is "sequence contains ITS1". The stretch from base 1 to 106 matches the Rfam family "5.8S ribosomal RNA", at positions 49 to 154 of the family's 154-position model. The record is from RNAcentral. Lineage: Eukaryota; Fungi.
UAAAGUGCGAUACGUAAUGCGAUUUGCAUGAAUCUGUGAGUCAUCAAGUUUUUGAACGCAACUUGCACCUCUUGGGCAACUGAGAGGUAUGUCUGUUUGAGUACCUAAUCCCCAUCUUGUCUCUAGUCAGAGGCAGACUUGAGGUCUUAGCUCUCUCUCUCUCGCAAGGGAAAGAGGGGGGUGAGCCUUUAAAUGAAGCAUGCUAAAGGUGCUGAAGACCUUGGCUAUGUGCUAGAGACCAACACACUGGUCUUGUCAUAGCCAAAAGUUUUGGUGCCUGCCUUGCUCUUUUACCCCAUAUAUAUAUUAUAUAAGGGGAAAAGUGCGGCAAUCUUUUAACUUGGUCUCAAAUCAGGCAAGACUACCCGCUGAACUUAA